RNAcentral lists this ribosomal RNA (215 nucleotides) under Klebsiella aerogenes. Its description in RNAcentral is "partial 23S ribosomal RNA". It matches the Rfam family "Bacterial large subunit ribosomal RNA", at positions 1 to 216 of the family's 2925-position model. Lineage: Bacteria; Pseudomonadati; Pseudomonadota; Gammaproteobacteria; Enterobacterales; Enterobacteriaceae. RNAcentral also lists the same sequence under 6 other names. The record is from RNAcentral.
GGUUAAGCGACUAAGCGUACACGGUGGAUGCCCUGGCAGUCAGAGGCGAUGAAGGACGUGCUAAUCUGCGAAAAGCGUCGGUAAGGUGAUAUGAACCGUUAUAGCCGGCGAUGUCCGAAUGGGGAAACCCAGUGCAAUUCGUUGCACUAUCGUUAACUGAAUACAUAGGUUAACGAGGCGAACCGGGGGAACUGAAACAUCUAAGUACCCCGAGG